RNAcentral lists this ribosomal RNA (446 nucleotides) under uncultured bacterium. RNAcentral describes it as "partial 16S ribosomal RNA". It matches the Rfam family "Bacterial small subunit ribosomal RNA", at positions 338 to 795 of the family's 1533-position model. The record is from RNAcentral.
CCUACGGGUGGCAGCAGUCGAGAAUCAUUCACAAUGGGGGAAACCCUGAUGGUGCGACGCCGCGUGGGGGAAUGAAGGUCUUCGGAUUGUAAACCCCUGUCAUGUGGGAGCAAAUAAAAAAGAUAGUACCACAAGAGGAAGAGAUGGCUAACUCUGUGCCAGCAGCCGCGGUAAUACAGAGGUCUCAAGCGUUGUUCGGAAUCACUGGGCGUAAAGGGUGCGUAGGCGGUUUCGUAAGUCGUGUGUGAAAGGCGCGGGCUCAACCAGCGGACGGCACAUGAUACUGGGAGACUAGAGUAAUGGAGGGGGAAGCGGAAUUCUCGGUGUAGCAGUGAAAUGCGUAGAUAUCGAGAGGAACACUCGUGGCGAAGGCGGGUUCCUGGACAUUAACUGACGCUGAGGCACGAAGGCCAGGGGAGCGAAAGGGAUUAGAUACCCGGGUAGUC